GUCUACAGCCAGGCCACCCUGAAUGUGCCCGAUCCCGUCUGAUCUCGGAAGCUAAGCAGGGUUGGGCCUGGUUAGUACUUGGAUGGGAGACCACCUAGGAAGACCAGGUGCUGUAGGCG
RNAcentral lists this ribosomal RNA (119 nucleotides) under Pteropus alecto (black flying fox). Lineage: Eukaryota; Metazoa; Chordata; Mammalia; Chiroptera; Pteropodidae. The record is from RNAcentral.